GGUUAAGCGACUAAGCGUACACGGUGGAUGCCCUGGCAGUCAGAGGCGAUGAAGGACGUGCUAAUCUGCGAAAAGCGUCGGUAAGGUGAUAUGAACCGUUACAGCCGGCGAUGUCCGAAUGGGGAAACCCAGUGCAAUUCGUUGCACUAUCGUUAACUGAAUACAUAGGUUAACGAGGCGAACCGGGGGAACUGAAACAUCUAAGUACCCCGAGGAAAAGAAAUCAACCGAGAUUCCCCCAGUAGCGGCGAGCGAACGGGGAGCAGCCCAGAGUCUGAAUCAGCUUGUGUGUUAGUGGAACGGUCUGGAAAGUCCGACGGUACAGGGUGAUAGUCCCGUACACCAAAAUGCACAGGCUGUGAACUCGAAGAGUAGGGCGGGACACGUGGUAUCCUGUCUGAAUAUGGGGGGACCAUCCUCCAAGGCUAAAUACUCCUGACUGACCGAUAGUGAACCAGUACCGUGAGGGAAAGGCGAAAAGAACCCCGGCGAGGGGAGUGAAAAAGAACCUGAAACCGUGUACGUACAAGCAGUGGGAGCACCUUCGGGUGUGACUGCGUACCUUUUGUAUAAUGGGUCAGCGACUUAUAUUCUGUAGCAAGGUUAACCGUAUAGGGGAGCCGCAGGGAAACCGAGUCUUAACUGGGCGUUAAGUUGCAGGGUAUAGACCCGAAACCCGGUGAUCUAGCCAUGGGCAGGUUGAAGGUUGGGUAACACUAACUGGAGGACCGAACCGACUAAUGUUGAAAAAUUAGCGGAUGACUUGUGGCUGGGGGUGAAAGGCCAAUCAAACCGGGAGAUAGCUGGUUCUCCCCGAAAGCUAUUUAGGUAGCGCCUCGUGAACUCAUCUUCGGGGGUAGAGCACUGUUUCGGCUAGGGGGUCAUCCCGACUUACCAACCCGAUGCAAACUACGAAUACCGAAGAAUGUUAUCACGGGAGACACACGGCGGGUGCUAACGUCCGUCGUGAAGAGGGAAACAACCCAGACCGCCAGCUAAGGUCCCAAAGUCACAGUUAAGUGGGAAACGAUGUGGGAAGGCACAGACAGCCAGGAUGUUGGCUUAGAAGCAGCCAUCAUUUAAAGAAAGCGUAAUAGCUCACUGGUCGAGUCGGCCUGCGCGGAAGAUGUAACGGGGCUAAACUGUGCACCGAAGCUGCGGCAGCGACACUAUGUGUUGUUGGGUAGGGGAGCGUUCUGUAAGCCUGCGAAGGUGGCCUGUGAGGGUUGCUGGAGGUAUCAGAAGUGCGAAUGCUGACAUAAGUAACGAUAAUGCGGGUGAAAAGCCCGCACGCCGGAAGACCAAGGGUUCCUGUCCAACGUUAAUCGGGGCAGGGUGAGUCGACCCCUAAGGCGAGGCCGAAAGGCGUAGUCGAUGGGAAACAGGUUAAUAUUCCUGUACUUGGUGUUACUGCGAAGGGGGGACGGAGAAGGCUAUGUUAGCCGGGCGACGGUUGUCCCGGUUUAAGCAUGUAGGCGGAGGUUCCAGGUAAAUCCGGUACCUUAUUAACGCUGAGGUGUGAUGACGAGGCACUACGGUGCUGAAGUAACAAAUGCCCUGCUUCCAGGAAAAGCCUCUAAGCAUCAGGUAACAUUGAAUCGUACCCCAAACCGACACAGGUGGUCAGGUAGAGAAUACCAAGGCGCUUGAGAGAACUCGGGUGAAGGAACUAGGCAAAAUGGUGCCGUAACUUCGGGAGAAGGCACGCUGAUAUGUAGGUGAAGCCCCUGCGGGUGGAGCUGAAAUCAGUCGAAGAUACCAGCUGGCUGCAACUGUUUAUUAAAAACACAGCACUGUGCAAACACGAAAGUGGACGUAUACGGUGUGACGCCUGCCCGGUGCCGGAAGGUUAAUUGAUGGGGUUAUCCGUAAGGAGAAGCUCUUGAUCGAAGCCCCGGUAAACGGCGGCCGUAACUAUAACGGUCCUAAGGUAGCGAAAUUCCUUGUCGGGUAAGUUCCGACCUGCACGAAUGGCGUAAUGAUGGCCAGGCUGUCUCCACCCGAGACUCAGUGAAAUUGAACUCGCUGUGAAGAUGCAGUGUACCCGCGGCAAGACGGAAAGACCCCGUGAACCUUUACUAUAGCUUGACACUGAACAUUGAGCCUUGAUGUGUAGGAUAGGUGGGAGGCUUUGAAGCGUGGACGCCAGUCUGCGUGGAGCCAACCUUGAAAUACCACCCUUUAAUGUUUGAUGUUCUAACGUUGGCCCCUAAUCGGGGUUGCGGACAGUGUCUGGUGGGUAGUUUGACUGGGGCGGUCUCCUCCCAAAGAGUAACGGAGGAGCACGAAGGUUAGCUAAUCCUGGUCGGACAUCAGGAGGUUAGUGCAAUGGCAUAAGCUAGCUUGACUGCGAGCGUGACGGCGCGAGCAGGUGCGAAAGCAGGUCAUAGUGAUCCGGUGGUUCUGAAUGGAAGGGCCAUCGCUCAACGGAUAAAAGGUACUCCGGGGAUAACAGGCUGAUACCGCCCAAGAGUUCAUAUCGACGGCGGUGUUUGGCACCUCGAUGUCGGCUCAUCACAUCCUGGGGCUGAAGUAGGUCCCAAGGGUAUGGCUGUUCGCCAUUUAAAGUGGUACGCGAGCUGGGUUUAGAACGUCGUGAGACAGUUCGGUCCCUAUCUGCCGUGGGCGCUGGAGAAUUGAGGGGGGCUGCUCCUAGUACGAGAGGACCGGAGUGGACGCAUCACUGGUGUUCGGGUUGUCAUGCCAAUGGCAUUGCCCGGUAGCUAAAUGCGGAAGAGAUAAGUGCUGAAAGCAUCUAAGCACGAAACUUGCCCCGAGAUGAGUUCUCCCUGACUCCUUGAGAGUCCUGAAGGAACGUUAAAGACGAUGACGUUGAUAGGUCGGGUGUGUAAGCGUAGCGAUACGUUGAGCUAACCGAUACUAAUGAACCGUGAGGCUUAACCUU
RNAcentral lists this ribosomal RNA (2905 nucleotides) under Klebsiella aerogenes. Its description in RNAcentral is "23S ribosomal RNA". It matches the Rfam family "Bacterial large subunit ribosomal RNA". Lineage: Bacteria; Pseudomonadati; Pseudomonadota; Gammaproteobacteria; Enterobacterales; Enterobacteriaceae. The record is from RNAcentral.